GAGAAAAAAAUGUGCCACUUCUUAAUGGGAGGAACGGCACGGUGACAUUGUAAAGCGUAUUCAUAAGAAAGAAGCAAAAUGGAUGCCCUUUUUGCAACUUCCUUCAGAAGAAAAUCAAAUGUUUAUAUUGAAAAGAAAAUAGUUAUAAUUAGAACAUAUGGGAGAAUACAACUUUUAGAAGACGUACCCGGUGUUUGCGAAAAAACAUGUCUCCAGUGUUGCAACUCACACAUCCAUAUGCGUAUUCACACACCACUGGAAGUGCUGCUUUAAAAUGCAGGUAUGUCCAGGGAGACUGCAAGAGAGAAACAAGGAGAAAUGGAGAGAAGAAAAUGAAGAGAAAAUAAGAGCAUCCAUAAAUAUAUAGCAG
This 370-nucleotide long non-coding RNA is filed under the name Callithrix jacchus (white-tufted-ear marmoset). Its description in RNAcentral is "lncRNA (ENSCJAG00000078518.1)". Lineage: Eukaryota; Metazoa; Chordata; Mammalia; Primates; Cebidae. The record is from RNAcentral.